CGUCGUUGCAGCGACGAAAAAUAGGUUCUUAGGCUGCAAGCGUCACGAAUUUUCGUGGGUGAAC
Molecule: ribozyme, 64 nt
Filed under: unclassified sequences
Description: pistol ribozyme
Rfam family: Pistol ribozyme
Source: RNAcentral